Amblyraja radiata (thorny skate) is the source of this 127-nucleotide long non-coding RNA. RefSeq lists it as uncharacterized. The transcript is spliced from 3 exons. The record is from RefSeq and is a predicted model, not a curated record. NCBI's taxonomy places the organism in Eukaryota, Metazoa, Chordata, Chondrichthyes, Rajiformes, Rajidae.
CGCCCUUGAACCUCUUGCCGCAGCCGGAGCAGGCGAGAGGCCUCUCGCCGGAGUGCAUGCGGUUGUGCCGCAGCAGUCUGUCGUAGUGGGUGAAGCUCUUGCCGCACUCCAAGCAGUUGAAGGGGCG